This 307-nucleotide unclassified non-coding RNA is filed under the name plant metagenome. RNAcentral describes it as "partial contains 5.8S ribosomal RNA, internal transcribed spacer 2, and large subunit ribosomal RNA". The stretch from base 1 to 105 matches the Rfam family "5.8S ribosomal RNA", at positions 50 to 154 of the family's 154-position model. The record is from RNAcentral.
GAAAUGCGAUAAGUAAUGUGAAUUGCAGAAUUCAGUGAAUCAUCGAAUCUUUGAACGCACAUUGCGCCCGCUAGCACUCUGGCGGGCAUGCCUGUUCGAGCGUCAUUUCAACCCUCAGAACCCCUUGCGGGAUCUGGCGUUGGGGAUUGGCAUCCAGCCAGCCCCGAAAUCUAGUGGCGGUCCCUCCGCGACCUCCCCUGUGCAGUAGCGAUACCUCACAGCGGGACAGCGGUCUGACCACGCCGUAAAACCCCCAACUUCUCAAGGUUGACCUCGAAUCAGGUAGGAAUACCCGCUGAACUUAAGC